GACGGGAAAGCACGGUGGUUAGACGGCUGUGUUAGUAAGAAGCAGCGUGGUUUACGAUGGCGGUUAAAUUCGUGAUAUGCUUGUUUUCUAGUGGUUUUUGUGACACAUGAAAAGCUGUUUAGUUAUUUUACAACACUAACUCGGCGCUCAUUUGUCGCAUAUGAUGCGUCAUUCCGCAUGACCAGCCCGCAAACGCUGGAAAAAAGUCAAAGGAAUGAACGUCAGACCGCAAGGAGUUUGGCCUAGCCACGUGGCGAAGUCGAGCAUGGCUUAGCACGUGGCGUCAAAGCGAAAUGCCCCUUGAUGGCUUGAAGUCCAACACUUGACACAAAAAAAACAACGCAAGUCUUUAAAUAAAACGAUUUCCUCCA
Long non-coding RNA from Dunckerocampus dactyliophorus (ringed pipefish), 371 nucleotides. RefSeq lists it as uncharacterized. The transcript is spliced from 3 exons. Lineage: Eukaryota; Metazoa; Chordata; Actinopteri; Syngnathiformes; Syngnathidae. The record is from RefSeq and is a predicted model, not a curated record.